Molecule: ribosomal RNA, 466 nt
Filed under: uncultured bacterium
Lineage: Bacteria
Description: partial 16S ribosomal RNA
Rfam family: Bacterial small subunit ribosomal RNA
Source: RNAcentral
GACGAACGCUGGCGGCGUGCUUAACACAUGCAAGUCGAACGGAAAGGCCCUGCUUGCCGGGUACUCGAGUGGCGAACGGGUGAGUAACACGUGGGUGAUCUGCCCUGCACUUCGGGAUAAGCUUGGGAAACUGGGUCUAAUACCGGAUAGGAGCCAUCCUUAGUGUGGUGGUUGGAAAGUUUUUUCGGUGUAGGAUGAGCUCGCGGCCUAUCAGCUUGUUGGUGGGGUAAUGGCCUACCAAGGCGGCGACGGGUAGCCGGCCUGAGAGGGUGUACGGCCACAUUGGGACUGAGAUACGGCCCAGACUCCUACGGGAGGCAGCAGUGGGGAAUAUUGCACAAUGGGCGCAAGCCUGAUGCAGCGACGCCGCGUGGGGGAUGAAGGCCUUCGGGUUGUAAACUCCUUUCGCUAGGGACGAAGCUUUUUUGUGACGGUACCUAGAGAAGAAGCACCGGCUAACUACGUG